AGAGUUUGAUCCUGGCUCAGAUUGAACGCUGGCGGCAGGCCUAACACAUGCAAGUCGAACGGUAACAGGAAACAGCUUGCUGUUUCGCUGACGAGUGGCGGACGGGUGAGUAAUGUCUGGGAAACUGCCUGAUGGAGGGGGAUAACUACUGGAAACGGUAGCUAAUACCGCAUAACGUCGCAAGACCAAAGAGGGGGACCCUCGGGCCUCUUGCCAUCGGAUGUGCCCAGAUGGGAUUAGCUUGUUGGUGGGGUAACGGCUCACCUAGGCGGCGAUCCCUAGCUGGUCUGAGAGGAUGACCAGCCACACUGGAACUGAGACACGGUCCAGACUCCUACGGGAGGCAGCAGUGGGGAAUAUUGCACA
This 366-nucleotide ribosomal RNA is filed under the name uncultured Escherichia sp. RNAcentral's name for it is "bacterial SSU rRNA". It matches the Rfam family "Bacterial small subunit ribosomal RNA", at positions 8 to 370 of the family's 1533-position model. The record is from RNAcentral. Lineage: Bacteria; Pseudomonadati; Pseudomonadota; Gammaproteobacteria; Enterobacterales; Enterobacteriaceae.